GGAGGAUUAGUCUAAUUGGUAAGGCAGCAGUCUUGAAAACUGCCGGGUUAACACCCUUGGGGGUUCGAGUCCCUCAUCCUCCG
This 83-nucleotide transfer RNA is filed under the name Chlorobium phaeovibrioides. RNAcentral describes it as "tRNA-Ser". It matches the Rfam family "tRNA". Rfam says of the family: Transfer RNA (tRNA) molecules are approximately 80 nucleotides in length. Their secondary structure includes four short double-helical elements and three loops (D, anti-codon, and T loops). RNAcentral also lists the same sequence under 4 other names. Lineage: Bacteria; Pseudomonadati; Chlorobiota; Chlorobiia; Chlorobiales; Chlorobiaceae. The record is from RNAcentral.